GAUGAACGCUGGCGGCGUGCCUAAUACAUGCAAGUCGAGCGAACAGAUGAGGAGCUUGCUCCUCUGACGUUAUCGGCGGACGGGUGAGUAACACGUGGAUAACCUACCUAUAAGACUGGGAUAACUUCGGGAAACCGGAGCUAAUACCGGAUAAUAUAUUGAACCGCAUGGUUCAAUAGUGAAAGACGGUUUUGCUGUCACUUAUAGAUGGAUCCGCGCCGCAUUAGCUAGUUGGUAAGGUAACGGCUUACCAAGGCAACGAUGCGUAGCCGACCUGAGAGGGUGAUCGGCCACACUGGAACUGAGAAACGGUCCAGACUCCGACGGGAGGAAGCAGUAGGGAAUCCUCCGCAAUGGGCGAAAGCCGGACGGAGCAACGCCGCGUGAGUGAUGAAGGUCUUCGGAUCGUAAAACUCUGUUAUUAGGGAAGAACAAAUGUGUAAGUAACUAUGCACGUCUUGACGGUACCUAAUCAGAAAGCCACGGCUAACUACGUG
This 497-nucleotide ribosomal RNA is filed under the name uncultured bacterium. RNAcentral describes it as "partial 16S ribosomal RNA". It matches the Rfam family "Bacterial small subunit ribosomal RNA", at positions 28 to 507 of the family's 1533-position model. The record is from RNAcentral.